AUCAACUAUCUUUGAGAUAUAGUAUCCAGAAGAUUCUAAUAGGUGGGAUGUGGCAUAGCAGAGAAUGCAUCCCUGAUGGGGAUACUCAAGAGUCUCAGCAGCUCCUGGGGCUCAUCUCGACUUGACCACUCAGGACCGUUGCUCCCAGUGUUACAGUUUAUUUUCCUAAGAUAACCACCCCAUGCUCUCAAAUGCUCUUUGUACAGGUAUCUUUGACUCCCCUCCCAGGACACAAGAGUGAUGCUAUGGACUCCUGAGGCUGGGACAUAAAAGGCCACAUGGCUUCUGCCUAGAUUGCUUGAGAUGUGCUCCCUUGGAAGCCACAUGCAGAGGCCACAUGUGUGCCAGUUAAUGACAGCAGCUGAUAAGUGAAUGUCUUCAGGUGACCCUAGCCUACAGCUGCUAAAUCACGCCUCAGACACCGGGGAACAGAUGAGGCUUCCCCCACUGAGUUCUACCCAAACAGUGGGUUUGCCACCACCCAG
This 485-nucleotide long non-coding RNA is filed under the name Homo sapiens (human). Its description in RNAcentral is "HSALNT0002597". Lineage: Eukaryota; Metazoa; Chordata; Mammalia; Primates; Hominidae. The record is from RNAcentral.